RNAcentral lists this unclassified non-coding RNA (298 nucleotides) under Camptylonemopsis sp. LS3A-PS. RNAcentral's name for it is "16S-23S ribosomal RNA intergenic spacer". The record is from RNAcentral. Lineage: Bacteria; Bacillati; Cyanobacteriota; Cyanophyceae; Nostocales; Nostocaceae.
UUAGGGAGACCUACCCAACUUUGGUAUCGAAGGCAAAUAGCUUCUAGAUGCAAAGAUGGUCUACUCUAGGUCGGUCGAGAAUUGGAAAAAGCUUUCAAAGUACCAUCUGUUCGGUUUUUUCAACUGAAGAUUAGAUAAUAAAGAUUGAGGAAAAAUUCAGCAACAAGACUCAUAUGGGUCAGACUGCUGGAUGAUACCAGCCAGAACCUUGAAAACUGCAUAGUAACGCGAUUAUAGCAGGCAGACACAGACAUUAGUGAUAAUAGUAGUGUUUGCGCAAAGCAACCAAAUGUAAUGU